RNAcentral lists this ribosomal RNA (437 nucleotides) under uncultured bacterium. Its description in RNAcentral is "bacterial SSU rRNA". It matches the Rfam family "Bacterial small subunit ribosomal RNA", at positions 28 to 507 of the family's 1533-position model. The record is from RNAcentral.
GAUGAACGCUGGCGGUAUGCCUAACACAUGCAAGUCGUACGAGAGUUUUUAACUCUAGUGGCGGACGGGUGAGUAACACGUGAGAAUUUGCCUUUAGGAGGGGGACAACAAUCGGAAACGAAUGCUAAUACCCCAUAUGCUUUCGAGUGAAAUGGAUUUUAUCCGCCUAGAGAGAAGCUCGCGGCUGAUUAGCUUGUUGGUAAGGUAAGAGCUUACCAAGGCGACGAUCAGUAUCUGGUUUGAGAGGACGAUCAGACACACUGGAACUGAGACACGGUCCAGACUCCUACGGGAGGCAGCAGUGGGGAAUUUUCCGCAAUGGGCGCAAGCCUGAUCCAGCAAUUCCGCGUGGGUGAAGAAGGUCUUCGGAUUGUAAAGCCCUUUCGUUGGGGACGAUGAUGACGGUACCCAAAGAAGAAGCCCCGGCUAACUUCGUG